CGGAAAAACAAAUAAUUUGCGAAAAUUAUAACUCAAAACCCAAAUUUAACAAAAAGGAAGGCGGAUUGUAAGAUGCCGCUCGGCACGUACAACACAAUAGCUCAACUACUAAAAUACUAUCGCAAAACCCGAAAAUAUACGGGAACACAAGCUAACAGAAUGUAAUACAUAGCUCUAACUCCAAAAUGUCUAAAACAACAGUACUGCAGGAAAGCUAACUGCUAAAGCUAGAAUAAGAUAGAGACUCCUGGUUUGCGGAUGCAGCAGAUGUACCUCGAAGUCUCUGAUAGAUCUCUCUGUCUCGAUAUUAAUAUGCCUGGGUGGAGGUACCUGGAUCUGCACUUGAAAAACAUGCACAGAAGGGGCAUGAGUACACCAUAGCGGUACUCAAUAAGUGCCAAGCCUAACCUCGGUAGUGACGACGAAGGUCAGGGCCCUACUGAGAAUAAACAUAAUAAUAUAUCUUGCAACAGUAUGAAAUAAGCAGGAAUAAUGAGUACAACUAUGAAGUAAGACAAGUUAUACAAGGCAACAAAUAACACACAGAAAAUAAGGUAAGACGGAGUAAACAACUCAAUAGCAGUUGUCGACGCCCCCUUUUUCCUCUGUGGAAAUAAGAUUUACGACAUUUUGGGAAGACAACUCUAUUCUCUUUUGGGAAUUCACUAAAAGGGGUCUUUGAGUUGAAGAAACCAUAGUUCGGGUAAGAGCUAGAUAUUAUCGCGAGGGGUAGGUGUUAGGCACCCCUCAAGAUCCACUAGUGUGGUUCCCAUCCAUGUUAUAGUUGUGACUUUAAACAAAAAGUAAGCAGAUUAAGGUCUCAUAUAGAAGGGAUUUUCACAUAAUGUCGCAAGUGGAUUUAAAGUUUAAAAAACAUAGAGAAAAUCAGAGAUUUAAAAAAAAGUAAUUUGAACAAAUAAAAAAAGUAAAGAAAAAUGGGGGUCCUAGGUUUAUGAACAACAUGGAUCAACCCACACAACACCCGGUAACCGUUUAUACACGUGGUGUUAUCACGUGGUCAUCAUAUCAAUAUCUACCCUUCCCACCCUGUUAAGGUAUUAAAGCGCGAAAUGGUAUCAUUACCUAUCACAUGCUAUUACCCGUCCCAAUCCUAUCAAUCCUAGAGGCAUAUGGGAUCACUAAUACUAAAAGGGAGGGAGUGGAGGCUUUUGAGAGUUUUUAAAGGAUAAAAUGCUAAGGCGACAAUUAAAACAUAUAAAGCAAAUAGUGGGAAAGCAAUUAGGCAGACAUGGCUCAAAUAAACCUCUUUAAAUCAAAGGAAAGCAUAUAGUCUAGCAUGUCUUAUGCAUACUAGUUAUGGUCUGAAUUACGCUUAAACAUUAAGGAGGCAGACUGGCUUAUUACAUGUUUUAGAUAAGAAACCGAAAUCAGACCUGCCUGCUGGCUGGAAAUAGUAGACUGAUGCUGUUAUACCUUUUUUUAUUUUUACCCUAAAGCUUGCCUAGGUGUUAAACGAAACCUAUAUACAUGAUGUCUAUUAAUUGAGAAAGAGGUAAACUGAUUGCAGAAAAGAAUUGUCGAUUGCAGGAACGUUAUUGCUACUGAUUUUAUCGACUUGACGACUCAUGUUUGGUAGAUAACUCCUAUAGGCAUACUUUCUAGCCGUCACUGAUUUUAAGCACCAUUAUCAUGGAGAAAUCCUAUAGGCAGCUCAUCUAUAUGCAAUUGAUUAUUCAAAUCCUAUUACAGAUUUUCCUAGUGACAGAUGCAUAUGCAAAAAAAAAUGCGAAAGUCCUAUAGGCAUAUAAUCUAUAUGGAUAAUUUCAGAGAUGACCUAUAGACAUGAUAUCUAUAUGAAGUGCCGAAAAACCUAUAGCCAGGGUAUCUAUAUGAGAUGCAACACCUCAGAUGUAGUAAUUCUCUACGAAAAUUGUAUCUAUAUUAAAUGCAGUGUUUCAGAAGUAGAGAUUCCCUAUGAACAUGGUGUCUAUAUGUAAUACAGUGUUUCAUAAGUAGAGAUUCCCUAUGAACAUGGUAUCUAUAUGAAAUGCAGUGUUUCGGAGGUAGAGAUUCCCUAUGAACAUAGUAUCUAUAUGAAAUGCAGAAACCUAAAGACAUGGCUCCUAAUGCAGAAGUGAAAUAACUUAUAGGCAGGAUUUCUACAUGCAAAAUUAUAAGAAGAAUUUCUACAUGUAAUGCAUAAACGAAGGAGCACGUUGUAGGUGCAAAAAGUAAAUACCUAAAGCUGUAUGUCUACCCAUAUGCAUACAUGAGUCACCCUCCCCCUUUUUACUAGAACCCCGUAGUUAUUACAAAUUAUUACAUAUUAUUACAGACCUGAAUGAAUAAAGAAAAGUAAAGUACAUCAGAAAACUAAACAGUCCCAGCCAAGGAGAGCCUAACUCAGACUGCUGUCUGAAGCAUGAAGUAAACCAACUCCCAAGAUCAGAUUUCCAAAGCCUUUCUCUUAUUUGGGAUGUGCCAGAGUUCCCUAGGAAUCUCAAAUGGAGUGCUUACACCCAAAUAUAUUGCAGAAUUGGAUUAUGGUGCAGUGUGGAAGGGCCAGACCUCAAAUGUACAAGUUUAGAGGGAAACUCAAGGUUCCCAAGGUAGGGCUCAGAGCUCUCUAAGAAUCUCAAACAGAUUCCAGGCAGUGCUUACGCCCUAAUAUGUUGCAGAAUUUGAUUAUAAUGCAGUGUGGAAGGGCCAACCCUCAAAUGUCCAAGUUCACAGAGAAACGCAAGGUUCCCAAGGCAGGGCUCAUAGGAAGGGGGGGGGGGGCAGAACAUAGGGUCUAAGAGUAAGUGCAAGUGUAGUAAAAGGGGAUGAGGCAAGCUGGUGGUCAUACCUAGCAAUUUGGGGUGAUGGAACACCCUUGACCAGCUUGUCAGUUCAAAUUGAGGAGUCAAGACCCGUUGAAGGUCAGGUUCAUCCAUAGACAACAAUUUUGGUGCUACUAGGCUAUACCUUAACUCAACACACAUAAGGGAAUGAGGGUAUGGGGAGCUGAAAGAGACAAAAGCAGGCAUUGGACAUGUCCAGCAAUAGGGAAUGCUAACAUGCCCACAAUCCUGUUACACUAUUUAGAGGUUAGGAUCCAAAAGAUCUAGUUUUAAUACAUUGACAACAACUUGUAUAUUGCCAUAUUUUAAACUAUAGCUCAAACACUUAAAAGGGCAGGGAGUAGGGAUUUAUUGCAUUUGCAGGAAACUAAAGCAAACAGUAGCAUAUGAACAUGUCAAACUCUGCAGGUAACGGAUAUAGAUUUGAAGACUAUAAGUAAACAUAUUAGGAUUAUGCUGGGAAUUGAGUUAAGACAUACCAGUUUAAGGAGAUAAACAGAGAGGAAGCAGCAGUGUUGUGAAAACCAAAGUGCCAAUAAAGAAUACUCAAAAGAGAUUGUGAAAAUUGUAAGUAUACUCAAAAGAGGUUGUGAAAAUUGUAAGUAUGAAGUCUGGAGUGUAUUCCGUUCUAUGUUUGUGAAAGGAGGGUCGAGUAUUUAUAGUUUGAAAAUAGGCAGAAGUAAGGGAAAAAUCAUGGUAAUUAUGGAACUAUGUAUCAAUUGCAAUCAAUCAACAUAGGCACUUCCUUUUAAUUAAGGAUUUUAAACUCAAAUGGUAAUGGACAACAAACAGUUAAGGAAAGAAAUCAAGUGAACGACUUGUGUAAAGUAGGAAAUUAGGGGUAAAUACAUACAGGUGUAACUAAGAAAAGAAUCUUUAAUAUACAUGAUUAGCCCACACAAGAUAAGAACAAAAAAAUCAAUUAGUACAUAGUAAAUCAAGGAAUUUGGGUUUCAAAAAUUACCAAUGAACCAGGUUAGAAGCAGGGGAAAGAAAGGUCCACGUCGGGAAAAUCAGGAACAAUCAAAUAAGCACCAUCAAAGGGAUUCAAAAUCAAUUAGUAGUUGGCAAAAUCUCUUGAAAGAAGAAUUCUCAUAUAUAAAGUACACAGACAUGUGAGUCAAGAAGAGACUGUCGAGUUAUGUAAGAAAGAGGAGUUCAGAUUCAUAAAGACUCAAAAAUCAUGAGCUAAGAGAUAUCCAGUUUGCAGACUCACAGUAAGUCUGAGAGUCCAGGGUCCCAAAGCGGAGCCUUAACUCGAAAGAAUCAAAGUCAUCAGAGGAAACCCCCAAAUCUUAGGGUCUCAAAAUUGAAUAAAACAUGGAAGCAAGCCAUUUGCUUCAGAGUCUCAACAAAACAGAUAUGAUAGCAUGUUGAAUGACAAAUGAAGAAGAAUCAUGAAGAACUUAUUUUGAGAAAACUUGGAACCUAAACAAGUUCAGGAGAAUGAGAUAAUGCAACUUGAACACAGUAGAUGAAGCAUGUAAGAACAUGAACAAAGUCCAGUAAACAAGAAUCAAAUAACUUAAUGGCAAACACACAUAGUAAAAGAGUUGAGAGAACAUAGCAAAGAUUAACAGGAGUAACAUGCAAUCAUAGUAGAAAGAUUCAAAGUACACAUCAGCGAAUACUUAUUAGAAUAAUCGGAGAAAGAUGCUUAGCAUAACCCUAAACAAGGCUCAAUCGAAGGAAGACAAAGAACUAUAAGGAAUUAGCAAGAAAAGUAUAAAAAAAAAGAAUCGCUGGGAAAGGUAUAGCACGAAAGCAUAUAGAGAAACACAAUAAGAUAAACAUAUAAACACAUGAUGAGAUGUAGUAGAAAAGUCUACAAGAACAUAUUAUAGAAAAACACAGUACAACAGAGGACAUCACAAAGAAGAAAGACUCAUAAAACUCCUAAACAUUUUCCAGAAAACCUUUGACCUACAAAGAAGGUUUUUAAAAAGUAAUUUUCAAAGAAAUAUUUAGGAAAAUCAUUUGAAAACUCACUCAUAGCAUAGAUACACAGCGGAUCUAAAAAGAAUCGAAGAAAACCUCGAACAGUUAGGGUUUCAGAGGAACCCUAGGGUGAGAAAGGCUUUGAAAAAGGUCCGAUCUGAGUCGGAUAAGGUUGGAAUCAGGCUCAGGAGGCUACGAUAUGCCGAAGCAAAGCCUGGAGAUGGCCGGAAACCUUGAGUUGACGAAGGUCUGGUCUCGAACCUUCAAGCAUCAUGCACACAUGAGUAAUAUGAGCUGAGUAUAUAUCAUCUAUGGACAGAGAAGCCAUGGAUUCUGGUGGGGUUGUGGUCAGAGAGGCGGUCGAGUUCAUAAGAGAAGAGAGAACCAGAAGGUUAUAGGGAGAAGGGAGAGGGAGAGCCGAUAUAGAGAAAGAGAC
RNAcentral lists this long non-coding RNA (5178 nucleotides) under Nicotiana benthamiana. Its description in RNAcentral is "long non-coding RNA (NBEN_LNC038660)". The record is from RNAcentral. Lineage: Eukaryota; Viridiplantae; Streptophyta; Magnoliopsida; Solanales; Solanaceae.